AUACAGAGGGUGCAAGCGUUAUUCGGAAUUACUGGGCGUAAAGCGCGCGUAGGCGGAUGAUUAAGUCAGUUGUGAAAGCCCUGGGCUCAACCUAGGAACUGCAUCUCAUACUGGUCAUCUAGAGUUUAAGAGAGGGAAGUGGAAUUCCAGGUGUAGCAGUGAAAUGCGUAGAUAUCUGGAGGAACAUCAGUGGCGAAGGCGACUUCCUGGCUUAGAACUGACGCUGAGGUGCGAAAGCGUGGGUAGCGAACGGGAUUAGAAACCCUUGUAGUCC
Molecule: ribosomal RNA, 274 nt
Filed under: uncultured bacterium
Lineage: Bacteria
Description: partial 16S ribosomal RNA
Rfam family: Bacterial small subunit ribosomal RNA
Source: RNAcentral